RNAcentral lists this ribosomal RNA (253 nucleotides) under uncultured bacterium. RNAcentral describes it as "partial 16S ribosomal RNA". It matches the Rfam family "Bacterial small subunit ribosomal RNA", at positions 524 to 776 of the family's 1533-position model. The record is from RNAcentral.
UACGGAGGAUGCAAGCGUUAUCCGGAUUUAUUGGGCGUAAAGCGUCCGCAGGUGGUUGGUCAAGUCGGCUGUCAAAGCGCGAGGCUUAACUUCGUUUGGGCAGUGGAAACUGAUCAGCUAGAGGGUGGUAGGGGCAGAGGGAAUUCCUAGUGUAGCGGUGAAAUGCGUAGAGAUUAGGAAGAACACCGGUGGCGAAAGCGCUCUGCUGGGCCGCAACUGACACUGAGGGACGAAAGCUAGGGGAGCGAAAGGG